GACAGAGGGUGCAAACGUUGUUCGGAAUUACUGGGCGUAAAGCGCGUGUAGGCUGCUCUGCAAGUCGGAUGUGAAAGCCCUGGGCUCAACCUAGGAAGUGCACUCGAAACUGCAGAGCUUGAGUCUCGGAGAGGAUCGCGGAAUUCUCGGUGUAGAGGUGAAAUUCGUAGAUAUCGAGAGGAACACCGGUGGCGAAGGCGGCCUUCUGGACAGUGACUGACGCUGAGACGCGAAAGCGUGGGGAGCAAACAGG
Molecule: ribosomal RNA, 253 nt
Filed under: uncultured bacterium
Lineage: Bacteria
Description: partial 16S ribosomal RNA
Rfam family: Bacterial small subunit ribosomal RNA
Source: RNAcentral